This is a long non-coding RNA of Ictalurus punctatus (channel catfish), 553 nucleotides long. Lineage: Eukaryota; Metazoa; Chordata; Actinopteri; Siluriformes; Ictaluridae. The record is from Ensembl.
CAAAAACCCGCCCCUUCCUUUCGUUGUUACGGACUACAGAGAGUGACGUUGGGCUACUGAGACUGUGUGUGGGUGUGAUGUGCUGCUCACAAUCAGUGCGCUGUGCCGUCAAGGCUCCCAACUGUGUAGCAUGGUAAUUUAACGUAGUUCCGGUCGGAGCGCCAGCUGUUGCCGUCACAACUAUUAAAGACGCUAUCAUGACUUUCGUAUGUACCAUCGGUCCUCGAUUUUGCAUGCGUUAAGGCGGGCUGAGUGAGAUGUGGUCAUUUCGGAGCUGAGUGUUUCCUGAGGCUGGGGGGAAUUCUUUGCUGCACCUUUAGGCUUUACUUAAAUAAGGGUCGUCAUUAUUGCUGUGUUUAUUUGCAGUGAAUUUGGUGGGUAUGAUUCUGAUUAGUGGGGUGCUUUUCCCUUUUGUAUAGCUGGUGCUGUCGUACUAGCCUGCCCUUCAUACAGGAAGCCUCAGUCCUCCUAUGAUUAUUGUUAACUUUCUCUUGUGACUGUUUUAUUUGACCUGACUGUGUUGGCUGCUUCUUUUAAAAUAGUUCUUGGCCAG